Long non-coding RNA from Lepidothrix coronata (blue-crowned manakin), 3838 nucleotides. RefSeq lists it as uncharacterized. Lineage: Eukaryota; Metazoa; Chordata; Aves; Passeriformes; Pipridae. The record is from RefSeq and is a predicted model, not a curated record. The transcript is spliced from 3 exons.
GGGCCUACAGCGAAGUGCAACGAUGCUGCAGCAGAGAUUGCACUCCAAACCUCAUUUUCCCUUGGCAAGAGGAUGUCGCUUCUACAGCAGUUGGCAAGCCAAGAGCCCAGCACCGCUGGAGAACCAGCUCUGUGGGGUCAGAGGAAGAGCAGAACAAACCCUUCUCUGCAGACCUCCCACUGCUGCCUGCAGGUGCAGUCCUGCUGCCAGGCCCAGGCAUGCUGGACCUGCUGCUGUAUGAUGUGACAUCGUGAAAAAUUAUAUAGUAGUAGUGGUGAGUCAUAGCCACAGUCAUUUUGAUUUUAUGUGCCAUGAUGAAAUUGGGGUGUUUCAGGACAAGAGAGUGCUCCUCUCCGUGGUCCUUCCUUCCCCUGUGGCCAGCAGAGCAGCGGGUGUUGGGUGCAUGUGCCAGAGCCUGUGCUGCCUGUGGGAUGGUGCUGCAGGGGCAGCUAUGAAGAAACAGAAGUAAUUAUCAGCAAACGGUGUGUCCUGGCUGGUGGUGUGACUGUCAGCAGCCUGGCUGAGAUGGCCAGAGUGUUCCUGAGGCACUGUUAUCUCUUCUGAAGGCAGAGGGAAGUGAUAAGACUCAGAUGGUGCCAUUCAUGGUCCCUCAACAACCAGUGCAAGUGUGAGUCCCUUUGAAGUUUACUGGUGACCCUGCUGAGAUCAAUACCCUUGGCUGGCAAAGAGUGGGGAGAGAAUCAGGCAGAGACCUGGGGAAAAGGACUUUGAAAAUAAAAACCCAUAUCUUUUCAGGCUCAGGGGAGAAAUGUUACCUCCCAGCCCCAAGAGCCAGGUCCUGGGCUAGUCCCCAGAGAGCCAAACACACACAAGAAGGGCUGUGAUUGAAAUCCCUCUCCUUGUGUUUUGCUGCUGCUGUUUGAAACCAACUCUGUUUGCUUUCAGAAGUGCUGUUUUGUGUUUCUGCAGUGACAUGUGAAUCCCAAUCUUGCUGGAAAGCAGCAGAAUGGGCACCCCAGGACCUGGUCUGAUGUGCGCUGAGGCCUCCCUCAUCACUGGCAGGACAGACUGGGUGCUGGCUCAGCCUGCCCCCUCUCAGAUGGCCCUAUGAGCUGCCAAGGGGGAUGUGGAUCUGUGCAAACUCUCAAGCUGAGCCCUGCCCUGGCGCUGGAUGGCCCCACAUUCACCCCUUCUCUUCCUGUGACGGGGACAAGGACCUUGCCAGCUGCCCAACAAGAUUCAGUGGGGCUCAUCUGCUGGAGCCCCCAGACUAUGAGGAGGGUCAAAGGUAGCACAGGCUGCCCUCAGCAAUCCGGAUAUUAACAGGGUUGCAACACCAGUUAGAAGAAUUUGAAGGGUCAAAUUCCACUGCAGUGUAACAUCGUUGAACUCGGCUGUUUUAGACCUCCAGCGAAUCUGGAGCAGCGUUUUGGAAGGGUGACACCUUAACACAGACCUGUUUAAAGGAGUUAAUGUGUGACUGGCCCCAAACCAGCUGGAGCAGGCAGAUGGCUUGCCCUGCUGGAGCUGGUUUUGGCAGCUGGGACCCUGUGCAGUUCUCAGCGAUGCUGAUGUGAAUCCAGAAGAAAGCAGCUGAGAGCAGAAGGAUUGCAGUUGGUUUGCAUCAUCUGCAGAGCAGGAUUAGCCCUUUUUUUAUUGCAGAUUCCCAGAAGAUGGCUACCCUGGGCUUUCUCUGGAUAUGUAUGUCCAUAUUCUGAAAUGCAGCCAACUUCCUGCUACUAAAAUAAACCUCACAAAUGCACCAUGUCUGGAACUGUCGCAAUUAAGAGCUACCAAAUAAGAAAAUAGUCAGGACACAAUGGAUUUAUGUCAAACACUGAACUGUUUGAAGUGUGUCCCUUUCCUUUAAGAGACCCUACUGCUGGCUAGUGUCCAGAUGCCAUGGAAAAUCUGCUCCCCUCUGUGCAAUGUGGAAUUCAGGAUACAGCUAAAUUAAACAUUAAAGAGCCUUUUGCAGUCAAAUUAGUUUUUAUUUGUGUCACACUAUAGGAUCAGCUGAUGGGUGUAUAUCCCCCAGCUCAGUGUCAUUGGUGCUGGGCAGAAGCCACAAAGCCUGAUGAGCUUGGAAUCACAGAAUCAUUUAGGUUGGAAAAGCCCUCUGAGAGCGAGUCCAGCCAUUAACUCAGCACUGCCAGGUUACCCCGUGUCUGUGAGCGCCACAUCCACGCGGUUUUCGAACACUUCCAGGGAUGGUGACUCUACCACUGCCCUGGGCAGCCUGUUCCAGGGCUGGACAACCCUUUUGGUGAAGAAUUUUUCCCAAAUACCCAACCUAGACCUCUCAGGGACAUUUCCUCUUGUGCUAUCACUUGUCACCUGGGAGAAGAGACUGACCCCCCCCACACACACCUGGCUACAAUUUGUUUCCAGGUAGUUCUAUAGCACGAUAAGGUCCCCCCUGAGCCACUUUUUCUCCUCGGUCCCAUCCCGGGGUGGCUCGUGCGCGGUGUCCCCGGCAGGUGGCACUGGAGCCCCGCAGGUCCCUCCAGGCGCUCCCGCAGCACCGGGAGCAGCACCGAGGACGGGAGGGGACGGAGAGGGGGGGGAUCCGGACCCCCUUUUCCAGCCGUUCUUGUCUCCGCCCCUCGGGCUCAGCACUCUGACCCUGCCUCGUUCCGUGAGUAUUUGUAAUUUUCCGUGCCGACAAGACCCUAAUGGGCAUCGGGUGUUUGUUAAAAAUCCGGGGGAAAUCACAAUGUUUGCCAAAUAUGGUCCAAAUAUAUGCCAAAUAUUUGGCAAAUACUUUGGAAGAAUGUUUGCUAAAUAGUGAAAAAUGCAAUAUAUACACUAGUCAAAGGGGAUGCAAUAUGAAAAAAACAGUACACAGAAAAAAAAGGAAUAGGAGUUAGAAAAGUGCAGGUGGGCACUAUAUAGACAAGAAACUGCUUGUUAAAAGCCCUGGGGUGUUGUCUUGGCUCUCUAAUACCGAUGUCUCAAGUUGGUUCUCAAAUGGGCAACCUGAAGCCAUGAUUUUGCUGUGGAACCAGCACCUAGGCAGACACUCAGCCACUCACCAUGGUGUAACCUCAGUUCAGUCACACCUCACCUUGUGAUAUUGUUCAGUAAUAACAGCUGCUUUUUAUUUUAUUGUUCCUUAAGAGAGAGAAAUGCUUUUGACUUGUUCUGUAUUUCAGAGCAUCUUCCUCCUGCUUUGUUCACUAAAGAUGGGGCCAGACAUAUUAACUGCAGUUGUAAAUAUUAUUUUUACAACAGCAGAAUAUUUAUCUUGCUGCAUGGGUUGGUCGAGUUCGGGGCUGCAGACUUAAAAAACAGCUUCCUUGCCCUGAAGAGCCCAGAUACUUAAUUAAGGCAGAUAAGGCAGGACAAAUAAAAACAAGACAAAACUCCUCUUGCUUUGAACCACCUCUAGGGAGCAGGUCUUGGCAAAAGAAAAGAGGGAUUGUAAAGCUGUAAUAAUAAUAAUAAUGAUAAUUAAUUGUAUUUAUAAAGCAUCCCCUAAUGGCUCUGGAUGCUACACAACGAUUUUAAAUACAACUGAAAGCAGCAACCAUUACGAGAAGCCAAAUAAGGAAGGGCUUUAAAAAUAAAGGUGUUUUUUAUAGUAGAUAGUAAGGUUUCAGUGGGCUGGUUUGGGGCUCUCCUGCAGCGUGGACACACGGACAUCAGUCGGAAGCAGCUGAGGAUCCUGCAGUGAAUUCUACAGGCUUGCAGAUUGCAGGCUUUGAUUGCAAAGAGCAAAUACAUUUUACAGCCUGGUUUGCAUGUCACCAUUUCUGCUUUAUUUCCUUUCUGUACUCCAGCCAGCCAGACGGUGUAACUCAACGCAGCCCAAUUUACUUUAAUAUUUCUGCAUUGGCUUGCAGGUUUUUCUGCCCUCAUUUGUUAGGGGUAAACA